UACAGAGGGGGCAAGCGUUGUUCGGAAUUACUGGGCGUAAAGGGCGCGUAGGCGGCCGCCUAAGUCAGACGUGAAAUCCCUCGGCUCAACCGGGGAGCUGCGUCUGAUACUGGGUGGCUUGAAUCCGGGAGAGGGAUGCGGAAUUCCAGGUGUAGCGGUGAAAUGCGUAGGAUAUCUGGAGGAACACCGGUGGCGAAGGCGGCAUCCUGGACCGGUAUUGACGCUGAGGCGCGAAAGCCAGGGGAGCAAAGCGGG
RNAcentral lists this ribosomal RNA (255 nucleotides) under uncultured bacterium. RNAcentral describes it as "partial 16S ribosomal RNA". It matches the Rfam family "Bacterial small subunit ribosomal RNA", at positions 524 to 777 of the family's 1533-position model. The record is from RNAcentral.